CGGCUUACACAUGCAAGUCGAGCGGAGAUGAGGUGCUUGCACCUUAUCUUAGCGGCGGACGGGUGAGUAAUGCUUAGGAAUCUGCCUAUUAGUGGGGGACAACAUUCCGAAAGGAAUGCUAAUACCGCAUACGUCCUACGGGAGAAAGCAGGGGAUCUUCGGACCUUGCGCUAAUAGAUGAGCCUAAGUCGGAUUAGCUAGUUGGUGGGGUAAAGGCCUACCAAGGCGACGAUCUGUAGCGGGUCUGAGAGGAUGAUCCGCCACACUGGGACUGAGACACGGCCCAGACUCCUACGGGAGGCAGCAGUGGGGAAUAUUGGACAAUGGGGGGAACCCUGAUCCAGCCAUGCCGCGUGUGUGAAGAAGGCCUUAUGGUUGUAAAGCACUUUAAGCGAGGAGGAGGCUACUGAGACUAAUACUCUUGGAUAGUGGACGUUACUCGCAGAAUAAGCACCGGCUAACUCUGUGCCAGCAGCCGCGGUAAUACAGAGGGUGCGAGCGUUAAUCGGAUUUACUGGGCGUAAAGCGUGCGUAGGCGGCUUUUUAAGUCGGAUGUGAAAUCCCCGAGCUUAACUUGGGAAUUGCAUUCGAUACUGGGAAGCUAGAGUAUGGGAGAGGAUGGUAGAAUUCCAGGUGUAGCGGUGAAAUGCGUAGAGAUCUGGAGGAAUACCGAUGGCGAAGGCAGCCAUCUGGCCUAAUACUGACGCUGAGGUACGAAAGCAUGGGGAGCAAACAGGAUUAGAUACCCUGGUAGUCCAUGCCGUAAACGAUGUCUACUAGCCGUUGGGGCCUUUGAGGCUUUAGUGGCGCAGCUAACGCGAUAAGUAGACCGCCUGGGGAGUACGGUCGCAAGACUAAAACUCAAAUGAAUUGACGGGGGCCCGCACAAGCGGUGGAGCAUGUGGUUUAAUUCGAUGCAACGCGAAAAACCUUACCUGGCCUUGACUACUA
This 951-nucleotide ribosomal RNA is filed under the name Acinetobacter junii. RNAcentral's name for it is "bacterial SSU rRNA". It matches the Rfam family "Bacterial small subunit ribosomal RNA", at positions 44 to 990 of the family's 1533-position model. Lineage: Bacteria; Pseudomonadati; Pseudomonadota; Gammaproteobacteria; Moraxellales; Moraxellaceae. The record is from RNAcentral.